This 340-nucleotide unclassified non-coding RNA is filed under the name soil metagenome. RNAcentral's name for it is "partial contains 5.8S ribosomal RNA, internal transcribed spacer 2, and large subunit ribosomal RNA". The stretch from base 1 to 120 matches the Rfam family "5.8S ribosomal RNA", at positions 35 to 154 of the family's 154-position model. The record is from RNAcentral.
GAUGAAGAACGUAGCGAAAUGCGAUAAGUAAUGUGAAUUGCAGAAUUCAGUGAAUCAUCGAAUCUUUGAACGCACAUUGCGCCCGCUAGUAUUCUGGCGGGCAUGCCUGUCCGAGCGUCAUUUCAACCCUCAAGCCCCUGGGCUUGGUGUUGGGGAUCGGCGAGCCUCCGCGCCCGCCGUCCCCUAAAUCUAGUGGCGGUCUCGCUGUAGCUUCCUCUGCGUAGUAGCACACCUCGCACUGGGAAACAGCGCGGCCACGCCGUUAAACCCCCAACUUCUGAACGUUUGACCUCGGAUCAGGUAGGAAUACCCGCUGAACUUAAGCAUAUCAAGCGGAGGA